Cydia splendana is the source of this 1804-nucleotide long non-coding RNA. RefSeq lists it as uncharacterized. Lineage: Eukaryota; Metazoa; Arthropoda; Insecta; Lepidoptera; Tortricidae. The record is from RefSeq and is a predicted model, not a curated record. The transcript has 2 exons.
GUUUCUAUUGAGGUGUUGCGUGUAACGAUCGGUGCUAUAGCGGUCCUAUAUAGGUGCCUUGUGAAUCGGAAACAAGAAUCAAGAGUUGUAUUUUUAAGUUUUGUAAUCAAUUUUCGAUACGUUUUUAUAAAUCAUGCACUAAAAGUGUUUUUCUAAAGCAUAUACUUAUUCCAAAACAAAACACAAUAGAUAUAAAGUAAAUAGACAACACAAGUGCUAAUUGAAGUAGGUAGAACAAAUUACAUACCAUCAGGUUGAUUUAUCAUUAUCAGGUUUCUUAGUAUUUAGUAUAUUCAGUUUUUGACACAAAUAUACAGGGUGCCCAGUAAGUAGUGGAUAACCUCCUAGCCACCGACAGCACCGUAGGCUGGUCCAGAAAAUGCACUUAUAGGUCUAGGAAAAGUUUCGUGGUUUUCGAGAUAAUCGCACUUUUCUGUCUUUUUUACAAGGAACCAAAAUUAGAGAAGUGCGAUUAAAAAAUAAUGGUGACUCAUUAUGUUAAUAAUAAAUGAUACAGUUAAACAAGCAUAGUGAUUAGUUAUAUUACCGCAAUAAACAUUUAGAGUAGAAUAAUAUAUUGUUUAAUAUCCAAAUAAAAUAAUAAAAUUUCAGAAAUCACACAAUUACAAUAAAAAACUAAAAACGAAUACUAAAAUAUUUCAGACUUCUUGCGUUGCGUUGUCUAUUUAUUAUACCUAGAGGUUGUGCAUUAUUUAUUCUACAGUCAAGUGGCAGGUCAUUUUGUAUGGGCCAAUGUUUAUUUUACUGUCGGUUUUUCGACUCGUUAGAUUUGAAUAAAAUUGGGCUGGUUUGAAGUCCUCCUCAUUCUGUGCGGGAUAAAUACGUACCUAAUCACAGUGCGCCCCGAAAACACGUAUGUAAUACCGGUUCGUAGCUCUGGGGAAGAUGUUUAGGGCAUACGGUGACAUUGCGCUAUAUGUAGGUAUAUUGUACAAAAUUUAAUCGAAAACCAACGGGAAAAAAUCGGGCAUAAAGUCAAUGUGGCUAAUUCCGUCAUAGGGGCUAUUCCGUCCACGAGCAUAUAUUUAGUUCGCCCUUGUACCUACUACAUGUAUGCUCUAUCUGAUGUAGGUACCUUUAUUCCUCUAUUUCGUACAGUCACGUGUAAAAAUAUGGGUGCACACAUAAUACUCAAAAAUAUGUCCUAUAGGUCCUAUGUGAGCGAAUUAAGAACCAUGGGACAUAUUUUUGAGUAAGUUUUAUGCACCCAUAUUUUUACACUUGACUGUACAAUAAAGUGUUUACUUAAUUAUAUUUUUUUGAUUUUCAAUCGUAGGAAAGAAACCCAUUUGCUUUUGGUUGGUGAAACUAAAAGCAAUCGCAACUUUGUCGAUGAAAUUAUCAAUUUUGUUCGUUGUUCGAGAGAAACGCUAGUGGACGGAAUAGCCCCUUUGACGGAACUAGCCACAUUGACCUACAUAAAAAAAUGGCAUCAGUAGGAAAAAUCUGCUCUUGACUGUGCAAGUAGGUACAACUAAACACAUCUUACUAAUAUUUAUUAUUAAGAAUAAAUGUUUGUAAAACAUAAUAUUCCUUGUUAAAAUAUUCGCAAAUGUCACAUUUUAGAAUUAGUAAACAAAUGUAUGACACGUUUAGGUUUGCAUUUUAUAUGAUUUAGGCUGAAUUGCUUUUUAUAAGCGUGAAAGUGUUUCCCUAUUAAAUAAUAAAUUCGUAUUUACGUUAGGAAUGUAAAUAAAAUCGCAUUUUUCGUCAUUAUUGCUUUUAAGAAUAUGUAAUUCCUGUUUGUAGUUGUAUUAUGAUGGUUAAUAAAAAAUAAAGUUUU